This 417-nucleotide ribosomal RNA is filed under the name Microbacterium sp. HPC16. Its description in RNAcentral is "partial 16S ribosomal RNA". It matches the Rfam family "Bacterial small subunit ribosomal RNA", at positions 1060 to 1477 of the family's 1533-position model. Lineage: Bacteria; Bacillati; Actinomycetota; Actinomycetes; Micrococcales; Microbacteriaceae. The record is from RNAcentral.
UCGUGUNGUGAGAUGNUGGGUUAANUCCCGCAAACGAGCGCAACCCUCGUUUUUAUGUUUGCCAGCACGUAAUGGGGGAACUCAUGGGAUACUGCCGGGGUCAACUCGGAGGAAGGUGGGGAUGACGUCAAAUCAUCAUGCCCCUUAUGUCUUGGGCUUCACGCAUGCUACAAUGGCCGGUACAAAGGGCUGCAAUACCGUGAGGUGGAGCGAAUCCCAAAAAGCCGGUCCCAGUUCGGAUUGAGGUCUGCAACUCGACCUCAUGAAGUCGGAGUCGCUAGUAAUCGCAGAUCAGCAACGNUGCGGUGAAUACGUUCCCGGGUCUUGUACACACCGCCCGUCAAGUCAUGAAAGUCGGUAACCCCUGAAGCCGGCUGGCCACCGUUNAGUUUGNUNCCUGUNUCNUGNCAAUCAUUU